UUAGAGGUGUGGUAUUGGGUAGAGGUGUGGUAUUGGUUAAGGGUGUGGUAUUGGGUAGAGGUGGUAUUGGGUAAGGGUGUGGUAUUGGUUAAGGGUGUGGUAUUGGUUAAGGUUGUGGUAUUGGUUAAGGUGGUGGUAUUGGGUAGAGGUGUGGUAUUGGUUAGAGGUGUGGUAUUGGGUAGAGGUGUGGUAUUGGUUAAGGGUGUGGUAUUGGGUAGAGGUGUGGUAUUGGGUAGAGGUGUGGUAUUGGGUAGAGGUGUGGUAUUGGGUAGAGGUGUGGUAUUGGUUAAGGGUGUGGUAUUGGGUAGAGGUGUGGUAUUGGUUAAGGGUGUGGUAUUGGGUAGAGGUGUGGUAUUGGUUAAGGGUGUGGUAUUGGGUAGAGGUGUGGUAUUGGUUAAGGGUGUGGUAUUGGGUAGAGGUGUGGUAUUGGGUAGAGGUGUGGUAUUGGUUAGAGGUGUGGUAUUGGGUAGAGGUGUGGUAUUGGUUAAGGGUGUGGUAUUGGUUAAGGGUGUGGUAUUGGGUAGAUGUGUGGUAUUGGUUAAGGGUGUGGUAUUGGGUAGAGGUGUGGUAUUGGGUAGAGGUGUGGUAUUGGUUAAGGGUGUGGUAUUGGGUAGAGGUGUGGUAUUGGGUAGAGGUGUGGUAUUGGUUAAGGGUGUGGUAUUGGGUAGAGGUGUGGUAUUGGGUAGAGGUGUGGUAUUGGUUAGAGGUGUGGUAUUGGUUAAGGGUGUGGUAUUGGGUAGAGGUGUGGUAUUGGGUAGAGGUGUGGUAUUGGUUAAGGGUGUGGUAUUGGUUAAGGGUGUGGUAUUGGGUAGAGGUGUGGUAUUGGUUAAGGGUGUGGUAUUGGUUAAGGGUGUGGUAUUGGUUAAGGGUGUGGUAUUGGUUAAGGGUGUGGUAUUGGGUAGAGGUGUGGUAUUGGGUAAGGGUGUGGUAUUGGUUAAGGGUGUGGUAUUGGUUAAGGGUGUGGUAUUGGGUAGAGGUGUGGCAUUGGUUAAGGGUGUGGUAUUGGGUAGAGGUGUGGUAUUGGUUAAGGGUGUGGUAUUGGUUAAGGGUGUGGUAUUGGGUAGAGGUGUGGUAUUGGUUAAGGGUGUGGUACUGGUUAAGGGCGUGGUAUUGGGUAGAGGUGUGGUAUUGGUUAAGGGUGUGGUAUUGGGUAGAGGUGUGGUAUUGGGUAGAGGUGUGGUAUUGGUUAAGGGUGUGGUAUUGGGUAGAGGUGUGGUAUUGGUUAAGGGUGUGGUAUUGGUUAAGGGUGUGGUAUUGGGUAGAGGUGUGGUAUUAGGUAGAGGUGUGGUAUUGGGUAGAGGUGUGGUAUUGGGUAGAGGUGUGGUAUUGGUUAGAGGUGUGGUAUUGGGUAGAGGUGUGGUAUUUGGUAGAGGUGUGGUAUUGGUUAGAGGUGUGGUAUUGGGUAGAGGUGUGGUAUUGGGUAGAGGUGUGGUAUUGGUUAGAGGUGUGGUAUUGGGUAGAGGUGUGGUAUUGGUUAAGGGUGUGGUAUUGGGUAGAGGUGUGGUAUUGGCUAAGGGUGUGGUAUUGGGUAGAGGUGUGGUAUUGGGUAGAGGUGUGGUAUUGGUUAAGGGUGUGGUAUUGGGUAGAGGUGUGGUAUUGGUUAAGGGUGUGGUAUUGGGUAGAGGUGUGGUAUUGGGUAGAGGUGUGGUAUUGGGUAGAGGUGUGGUAUUGGGUAGAGGUGUGGUAUUGGAUAGAGGUGUGGUAUUGGAUAAGGGUGGGGUAUUGCUUAAGGGUGUGUAUUGGGUAGAGGUGGGGUAUUGCUUAAGGGUGUGGUAUUGGGAGAGUGUGGUAUUGGGUAGAGGUGUGGUAUUGGGUAGAGGUGUGGUAUUGGUAGAGGUGUGGUAUUGGGUAGAGGUGUGGUAUUGGGUAGAGGUGUGGUAUUGGUUAAGGGUGUGGUAUUGGGUAGAGGUGUGGUAUUGGGUAGAGGUGUGGUAUUGGUUAAGGGUGUGGUAUUGGUUAAGGGUGUGGUAUUGGGUAGAGGUGUGGUAUUGGUUAAGGGUGUGGUAUUGGUUAAGGGUGUGGUAUUGGUUAAGGGUGUGGUAUUGGUUAAGGGUGUGGUAUUGGGUAGAGGUGUGGUAUUGGGUAAGGGUGUGGUAUUGGUUAAGGGUGUGGUAUUGGUUAAGGGUGUGGUAUUGGGUAGAGGUGUGGCAUUGGUUAAGGGUGUGGUAUUGGGUAGAGGUGUGGUAUUGGUUAAGGGUGUGGUAUUGGUUAAGGGUGUGGUAUUGGGUAGAGGUGUGGUAUUGGUUAAGGGUGUGGUACUGGUUAAGGGCGUGGUAUUGGUAG
Molecule: long non-coding RNA, 2283 nt
Organism: Oncorhynchus kisutch (coho salmon)
Lineage: Eukaryota; Metazoa; Chordata; Actinopteri; Salmoniformes; Salmonidae
Source: Ensembl